This 542-nucleotide ribosomal RNA is filed under the name uncultured bacterium. RNAcentral describes it as "bacterial SSU rRNA". It matches the Rfam family "Bacterial small subunit ribosomal RNA", at positions 775 to 1319 of the family's 1533-position model. The record is from RNAcentral.
GCAAUAGAUACCCAGGUAGUCCACGCCGUAAACGAUGAAUACUAGGUGUAGGAGGUAUCGACUCCUUCUGUGCCGCAGUUAACACAAUAAGUAUUCCGCCUGGGGAGUACGGUCGCAAGAUUAAAACUCAAAGGAAUUGACGGGGGCCCGCACAAGCAGCGGAGCAUGUGGUUUAAUUCGAAGCAACGCGAAGAACCUUACCUAGACUUGACAUCCCCUGAAUUACUCGUAACUGAGGAAGCCCUUCGGGGCAGGGAGACAGGUGGUGCAUGGUUGUCGUCAGCUCGUGUCGUGAGAUGUUGGGUUAAGUCCCGCAACGAGCGCAACCCUUAUCAUUAGUUGCUACCAUUAAGUUGAGCACUCUAAUGAGACCGCCCGGGUUAACCGGGAGGAAGGUGGGGAUGACGUCAAAUCAUCAUGCCCCUUAUGUCUAGGGCUACACACGUGCUACAAUGGUGAGUACAGAAAGAUGCAAUCCCGGUGAGGGGGAGCAAAACUCAAAAACUCAUCCCAGUUCGGAUUGUAGGCUGAAACUCGCCUAC